This 497-nucleotide ribosomal RNA is filed under the name uncultured bacterium. RNAcentral's name for it is "partial 16S ribosomal RNA". It matches the Rfam family "Bacterial small subunit ribosomal RNA", at positions 28 to 507 of the family's 1533-position model. The record is from RNAcentral.
GAUGAACGCUGGCGGCGUGCCUAAUACAUGCGAGUCGAGCGAACGGACGAGAAGCUUGCUUCUCUGAUGUUAGCGGCGGACGGGUGAGUAACACGUGGAUAACCUACCUAUAAGACUGGGAUAACUUCGGGAAACCGGAGCUAAUACCGGAUGAUAUUUUGAACCGCAUGGUUCAAAAGUGAAAGACGGUCUUGCUGUCACUUAUAGAUGGAUCCGCGCUGCAUUAGCUAGUUGGUAAGGUAACGGCUUACCAAGGCAACGAUGCAUAGCCGACCUGAGAGGGUGAUCGGCCACACUGGAACUGAGACACGGUCCAGACUCCUACGGGAGGCAGCAGUAGGGAAUCUUCCGCAAUGGGCGGAAGCCUGACGGAGCAACGCCGCGUGAGUGAUGAAGGUCUUCGGAUCGUAAAACUCUGUUAUUAGGGAAGAACAUAUGUGUAAGUAACUGUGCACAUCUUGACGGUACCUAAUCAGAAAGCCACGGCUAACUACGUG